AACGAACGCUGGCGGCAUGCCUAACACAUGCAAGUCGAACGAGACCUUCGGGUCUAGUGGCGCACGGGUGCGUAACGCGUGGGAACCUGCCCUUAGGUUCGGAAUAACUCCCCGAAAGGGGUGCUAAUACCGGAUAAUGUCUUCGGACCAAAGAUUUAUCGCCUUUGGAUGGGCCCGCGUUGGAUUAGCUAGUUGGUAGGGUAAAAGCCUACCAAGGCGACGAUCCAUAGCUGGUCUGAGAGGAUGAUCAGCCACACUGGGACUGAGACACGUCCCAGACUCCUACGGGAGGCAGCAGUGGGGAAUAUUGGACAAUAGGCGAAAGACUGAUCCAGCAAUGCCGCGUGAGUGAUGAAGGCCUUAGGGUUGUAAAGCUCUUUUACCCGGGAUGAUAAUGACAGUACCGGGAGAAUAAGCACCGGCUAACUCCGUG
Molecule: ribosomal RNA, 433 nt
Filed under: uncultured bacterium
Lineage: Bacteria
Description: partial 16S ribosomal RNA
Rfam family: Bacterial small subunit ribosomal RNA
Source: RNAcentral